RNAcentral lists this ribosomal RNA (465 nucleotides) under Vreelandella stevensii. RNAcentral's name for it is "partial 16S ribosomal RNA". It matches the Rfam family "Bacterial small subunit ribosomal RNA", at positions 338 to 795 of the family's 1533-position model. Lineage: Bacteria; Pseudomonadati; Pseudomonadota; Gammaproteobacteria; Oceanospirillales; Halomonadaceae. The record is from RNAcentral.
CCUACGGGGGGCUGCAGUGGGGAAUAUUGGACAAUGGGGGCAACCCUGAUCCAGCCAUGCCGCGUGUGUGAAGAAGGCCCUCGGGUUGUAAAGCACUUUCAGUGAGGAAGAACGCCUGGUGGUUAAUACCCAUCAGGAAAGACAUCACUCACAGAAGAAGCACCGGCUAACUCCGUGCCAGCAGCCGCGGUAAUACGGAGGGUGCGAGCGUUAAUCGGAAUUACUGGGCGUAAAGCGCGCGUAGGUGGCUUGAUAAGCCGGUUGUGAAAGCCCCGGGCUCAACCUGGGAACGGCAUCCGGAACUGUCAAGCUAGAGUGCAGGAGAGGAAGGUAGAAUUCCCGGUGUAGCGGUGAAAUGCGUAGAGAUCGGGAGGAAUACCAGUGGCGAAGGCGGCCUUCUGGACUGACACUGACACUGAGGUGCGAAAGCGUGGGUAGCAAACAGGAAUAGAUACCCCAGUAGUA